RNAcentral lists this ribosomal RNA (966 nucleotides) under human gut metagenome. RNAcentral's name for it is "bacterial LSU rRNA". It matches the Rfam family "Bacterial large subunit ribosomal RNA", at positions 1957 to 2925 of the family's 2925-position model. The record is from RNAcentral.
UAGCGAAAUUCCUUGUCGGGUAAGUUCCGACCCGCACGAAAGGCGUAAUGAUUUGAGCACUGUCUCGACAAUGCAUCCGGUGAAAUUGAAGUACCAGUGAAGAUGCUGGUUACCCGCGCCAGGACGGAAAGACCCCAUGGAGCUUUACUCCAGUUUGAUACUGGGAUUCGGUACUGCAUGUACAGGAUAGGUGGGAGACGAAGAAGGAUGGACGCCAGUCUGUCCGGAGUCGCUGUUGGGAUACCACCCCUGUAGUACUGGGUUUCUAACCAGUUGCCAUGAACUGGCAAUGGGACAAUGUCAGGCGGGGAGUUUGACUGGGGCGGUCGCCUCCGAAAGGGUAUCGGAGGCGCUCAAAGGUUCCCUCAGAAUGGUUGGAAACCAUUUGAAGAGUGCAAAGGCAGAAGGGAGCUUGACUGCGACACCGACGGGUGGAGCAGGUACGAAAGUAGGACUUAGUGAUCCGGUGGUAUAAAGUGGGAUUGCCAUCGCUCAACGGAUAAAAGCUACCCUGGGGAUAACAGGCUUAUCACUCCCAAGAGUUCACAUCGACGGAGUGGUUUGGCACCUCGAUGUCGGCUCAUCGCAUCCUGGGGCUGUAGUAGGUCCCAAGGGUUGGGCUGUUCGCCCAUUAAAGCGGUACGCGAGCUGGGUUCAGAACGUCGUGAGACAGUUCGGUCCCUAUCCGGCGUGGGCGUAGGAUAUUUGAGAGGAGCUGUCCUUAGUACGAGAGGACCGGGAUGGACUGACCUCUGGUGUACCGGUUGAACCGCCAGGUUCACGGCCGGGUAGCCAAGUCGGGAAGGGAUAAACGCUGAAGGCAUCUAAGCGUGAAGCCCCCCUCAAGAUGAGAUAUCCCUCCUUCGGGAGUAAGACCCCUUGAAGACUACAAGGUAGAUAGGGCAGAGGUGGAAGCAUGGCAACAUGUGGAGCUGACUGUUACUAAUAGGUCGAGGGCUUAAUCUG